Molecule: unclassified non-coding RNA, 2121 nt
Filed under: Hevea brasiliensis (rubber tree)
Lineage: Eukaryota; Viridiplantae; Streptophyta; Magnoliopsida; Malpighiales; Euphorbiaceae
Source: RNAcentral
GGAAUCUACUCUUACGUCAGUUGUUUGUCAUCAGCCAACCCUUCCAAUGUAAUUUUCCAGUUGUUCUCUCAUAUGAACGCCUCUCUCCCUCUCACUUUCCCUUUCUUUCAACCUCCUCCAUCACCCCCCUGGCGCGCGUGUUCUUUUCACUCUCCGAUCACCCUCUUGCCUCUUAACAGUUCAACAUUCUACUCACUUAAAUUAUCUCCCAAUUCUUUCCGCCGGAGAACUCUCCGUCGACUCUCUCCUAUCAUGUCCUCGGCUAUCUCUCAACCGGGAAUUACCGAACUCAGUGACGAGUCCGAUUUCCAUAGCGUUCUUUCUCCCUCCGGUCUCAUCUCCAUUUGUGGCUUCGGUUCUCUCCUCUCCGAAAGAAGCGCAAGAAGCACAUUUCCUGAUCUGGUAAAUUUCAGAGUUGCGAGAUUGAACGGAUUCCGGCGCGUGUUCGCUCAUGUGGCGCCCGUUUUCUUCGAACGUGGCAUCGCUAAGCCUGAAACUAAGGAGAUUUCGAGCUUGAGUGUGGAGCCUUGCGAGGGUGAAACUCUUAUAGUUACAGUUUUUGAGAUUGAUAAAUCAGAGAUCCCUGCUUUUAUGGAAAGGGAGCUUGAGUUUCGAUUUCUAGCUGUUAUACCUGAUACACUUGAUUGCAAGCCAUUUGAUAGUCCAGCGGUGCUUUGUGCUCGUUACAGUGAUGAGGAAUUUUUCCAAAUUAGAUGCAAAGGUAAUCUGUUCUAGCUAGGCGCCCAUAAGGUGGCACAUAGAAAAAGAAUGUGACACAGUUACUGGUAAUGUGCUUCAUGAGCAUGUGACCAGCUUCCUGGUGAUAUUCUGCAAUUUAUAUCAUCCUGAGGGCUGUCUCCAAUAAACAAGACAAUGGUUCAAUCAUCUAAUGAUGAGGUUCUCUACAUAGAGUAAUUAAAAAUAUCAUUUUGAUGUCUGAGGUUGCACUCUGAAUCAUGCCUUUGGCUGAGUUGAUAUCAUAAUUUUCCAUUUCCUAAUUGUUGUUGGCUCUUUUGCCAUCAAUUAACUGUAACACAAGGCAAUAUGAUAUCCGCCACCUAAUCUCAUGCAGGGAGCAAGGAGAUUUAUUUUCAGCAUUAUGGAAGGUUUAACAUCCAUAAGAUCUGGAGAGAUGAUAUCUUACCUUGUCGUACUUAUCUUCGGCACUGGUAAGUGCUACGUUUGAUAACAUACUGCCAUGCAAUCUGGAAAUUUUAUAGAAGUCUUCAUUGAAUAACUUGACAGUACUUGCAUAGCACAUGAAAGUCAGAGAGCUACGUUGCUUAAAUUGCAUAUGAGAUGGUAGUAAAGUGAGGUUGAAACAAAAUAUUUGCACAUAUGGUAGCAGAGUAGAUAAUGUAACUUUGACCCAAAGAACAGCUUAUUAGUUUUGCACAUCAAAGAGAAAUAAGCGGGCUUUUAUUAAACGUGAAAGGAUUGCCGGAGCAGACUUUCUGGCCUCCUGAAUAUUAAAAUUUCACCAGUGUCUUCAGUACAGGAUUUCUCGUUUGUUGUUGUCCUUAAAUUUUGUUAUCUGAAUGAGCCCGUUUACUUCUCCUGGUCCAGUUUGUUUUUGAGCUGCCAGAAGAAUAAGUUGAAGCUAUUUUGUUCAUUUGAAGUCCUUGAGUGGGUGCCAAUAAUUUUCCUUGAACCCUGUUUUCGAUACAGCCUUCUCUGUGUAUAAAUUGAAAGUGACAAAAUGCCCUGCAGUGUAUUGGCAGCAAAGAAUCUGGGCAGUGUAGCUCAUGACAACUUUUUGGAUCAUACUUUCCUUGGAGAUCGUAAAACAACCAUCCAUGAGUAUCUAGCAACAACUGGUGCAGGUAUAAUGGAAGAAGAGCCCCCAGAAUCCCUUAAGACGCGAUAUGGUGGCUGAUAUCAAAACUUGCCGAGCCGUACAUUGAAGGGUAGUGGUGUUUCAAGGCAGGCUGCUUCAAUCUUGUUUUCCCCAUUGAUCAGGGAUGGGGCUAAAGAAAACCGUUUUCAUGUUCUAGCAUAGUCAUGAUUGGAAGGCUCCUAGUAGGGACAGUGAGCUUUUUUACCUUAUAAAAUUAAAGCAAGAAUUUAUUGCAAUAAAACAUGGUCAGUUGUCAUCCUUCAUGAAUGCAUUCCAUCCUUAGC